GCCCAGAUAGCUCAGUCGGUAGAGCAGGGGACUGAAAAUCCCCGUGUCGGUGGUUCGAUUCCGCCUCUGGGCACCC
Molecule: transfer RNA, 76 nt
Filed under: Clostridioides difficile
Lineage: Bacteria; Bacillati; Bacillota; Clostridia; Peptostreptococcales; Peptostreptococcaceae
Description: tRNA-Phe
Rfam family: tRNA
About the family: Transfer RNA (tRNA) molecules are approximately 80 nucleotides in length. Their secondary structure includes four short double-helical elements and three loops (D, anti-codon, and T loops).
Source: RNAcentral